Non-coding RNA from Caenorhabditis elegans, 21 nucleotides. Lineage: Eukaryota; Metazoa; Nematoda; Chromadorea; Rhabditida; Rhabditidae. The record is from Ensembl.
UCGGUCUCAAUUAUUAAACUG